Molecule: ribosomal RNA, 779 nt
Filed under: Bacillus sp. (in: firmicutes)
Lineage: Bacteria; Bacillati; Bacillota; Bacilli; Caryophanales; Bacillaceae
Description: bacterial SSU rRNA
Rfam family: Bacterial small subunit ribosomal RNA
Source: RNAcentral
UGCUCCCUGAUGUUAGCGGCGGACGGGUGAGUAACACGUGGGUAACCUGCCUGUAAGACUGGGAUAACUCCGGGAAACCGGGGCUAAUACCGGAUGGUUGUUUGAACCGCAUGGUUCAAACAUAAAAGGUGGCUUCGGCUACCACUUACAGAUGGACCCGCGGCGCAUUAGCUAGUUGGUGAGGUAACGGCUCACCAAGGCAACGAUGCGUAGCCGACCUGAGAGGGUGAUCGGCCACACUGGGACUGAGACACGGCCCAGACUCCUACGGGAGGCAGCAGUAGGGAAUCUUCCGCAAUGGACGAAAGUCUGACGGAGCAACGCCGCGUGAGUGAUGAAGGUUUUCGGAUCGUAAAGCUCUGUUGUUAGGGAAGAACAAGUACCGUUCGAAUAGGGCGGUACCUUGACGGUACCUAACCAGAAAGCCACGGCUAACUACGUGCCAGCAGCCGCGGUAAUACGUAGGUGGCAAGCGUUGUCCGGAAUUAUUGGGCGUAAAGGGCUCGCAGGCGGUUUCUUAAGUCUGAUGUGAAAGCCCCCGGCUCAACCGGGGAGGGUCAUUGGAAACUGGGGAACUUGAGUGCAGAAGAGGAGAGUGGAAUUCCACGUGUAGCGGUGAAAUGCGUAGAGAUGUGGAGGAACACCAGUGGCGAAGGCGACUCUCUGGUCUGUAACUGACGCUGAGGAGCGAAACCGUGGGGAGCGAACAGGAUUAGAUACCCUGGUAGUCCACGCCGUAAACGAUGAGUGCUAACUGUUAGGGAGUUUCCGCCCCUUAG